This 642-nucleotide ribosomal RNA is filed under the name uncultured bacterium. RNAcentral describes it as "bacterial SSU rRNA". It matches the Rfam family "Bacterial small subunit ribosomal RNA", at positions 28 to 676 of the family's 1533-position model. The record is from RNAcentral.
GACGAACGCUGGCGGCGUGCUUAACACAUGCAAGUCGAACGGAAAGGCCCUGCUUUUGUGGGGUGCUCGAGUGGCGAACGGGUGAGUAACACGUGAGUAACCUGCCCUUGACUUUGGGAUAACUUCAGGAAACUGGGGCUAAUACCGGAUAGGAGCUCCUGCUGCAUGGUGGGGGUUGGAAAGUUUCGGCGGUUGGGGAUGGACUCGCGGCUUAUCAGCUUGUUGGUGGGGUAGUGGCUUACCAAGGCUUUGACGGGUAGCCGGCCUGAGAGGGUGACCGGCCACAUUGGGACUGAGAUACGGCCCAGACUCCUACGGGAGGCAGCAGUGGGGAAUAUUGCACAAUGGGCGGAAGCCUGAUGCAGCAACGCCGCGUGCGGGAUGACGGCCUUCGGGUUGUAAACCGCUUUCGCCUGUGACGAAGCGUGAGUGACGGUAAUGGGUAAAGAAGCACCGGCUAACUACGUGCCAGCAGCCGCGGUGAUACGUAGGGUGCGAGCGUUGUCCGGAUUUAUUGGGCGUAAAGGGCUCGUAGGUGGUUGAUCGCGUCGGAAGUGUAAUCUUGGGGGCUUAACCCCUGAGCGUGCUUUCGAUACGGGGUUGACUUGAGGAAAAGUAAGGGGAAAAUGGAAAUUCCUGGGU